RNAcentral lists this ribosomal RNA (985 nucleotides) under Lasiodiplodia pseudotheobromae. Its description in RNAcentral is "SSU rRNA". It matches the Rfam family "Eukaryotic small subunit ribosomal RNA", at positions 93 to 1086 of the family's 1831-position model. Lineage: Eukaryota; Fungi; Ascomycota; Dothideomycetes; Botryosphaeriales; Botryosphaeriaceae. The record is from RNAcentral.
AUGGCUCAUUAAAUCAGUUAUCGUUUAUUUGAUAGUACCUUACUACUUGGAUAACCGUGGUAAUUCUAGAGCUAAUACAUGCUAAAAACCCCGACUUCGGAAGGGGUGUAUUUAUUAGAUAAAAAACCAAUGCCCUUCGGGGCUCCUUGGUGAAUCAUGAUAACUUAACGAAUCGCAUGGCCUUGUGCCGGCGAUGGUUCAUUCAAAUUUCUGCCCUAUCAACUUUCGAUUGUAGGAUAGAGGCCUACAAUGGUUUCAACGGGUAACGGGGAAUUAGGGUUCUAUUCCGGAGAGGGAGCCUGAGAAACGGCUACCACAUCCAAGGAAGGCAGCAGGCGCGCAAAUUACCCAAUCCCGAUACGGGGAGGUAGUGACAAUAAAUACUGAUACAGGGCUCUUUUGGGUCUUGUAAUUGGAAUGAGUACAAUUUAAAUCUCUUAACGAGGAACAAUUGGAGGGCAAGUCUGGUGCCAGCAGCCGCGGUAAUUCCAGCUCCAAUAGCGUAUAUUAAAGUUGUUGCAGUUAAAAAGCUCGUAGUUGAACCUUGGGCCUGGCUGGCCGGUCUGCCUCACCGCAUGUACUGGUUCGGCCGGGUCUUUCCUCCUGGGGAUCCGCAUGCCCUUCACUGGGUGUGUUGGGGAACCAGGACUUUUACUUUGAAAAAAUUAGAGUGUUCAAAGCAGGCCUUUGCUCGAAUACAUUAGCAUGGAAUAAUAGAAUAGGACGUGCGGUCCUAUUUUGUUGGUUUCUAGGACCGCCGUAAUGAUUAAUAGGGAUAGUCGGGGGCAUCAGUAUUCAGUUGUCAGAGGUGAAAUUCUUGGAUUUACUGAAGACUAACUACUGCGAAAGCAUUUGCCAAGGAUGUUUUCAUUAAUCAGUGAACGAAAGUUAGGGGAUCGAAGACGAUCAGAUACCGUCGUAGUCUUAACCGUAAACUAUGCCGACUAGGGAUCGGGCGAUGUUAUUCUUUUGACUCGCUCGGCAC